RNAcentral lists this ribosomal RNA (460 nucleotides) under uncultured bacterium. RNAcentral's name for it is "partial 16S ribosomal RNA". It matches the Rfam family "Bacterial small subunit ribosomal RNA", at positions 338 to 795 of the family's 1533-position model. The record is from RNAcentral.
CCUACGGGCGGCAGCAGUGAGGAAUAUUGGUCAAUGGGCGCGAGCCUGAACCAGCCAAGUCGCGUGCAGGAAGACGGUCCUAUGGAUUGUAAACCUCUUUUGUCGGGGAGCAAAAGACGCCACGCGUGGCGUUCCGAGAGUACCCGAAGAAAAAGCAUCGGCUAACUCCGUGCCAGCAGCCGCGGUAAUACGGAGGAUGCGAGCGUUAUCCGGAUUUAUUGCGGUUAAAGGGUGCGUAGGCCGGCUUUUAAGUCAGCUGUGAAAGUCCGCGGCUCAACCGUGGAAUUGCAGUUGAAACUGGAGGCCUUGAGUGCACACAGGGAUGCCGGAAUUCAUGGUGUAGCGGUGAAAUGCUUAGAUAUCAUGAAGAACUCCGAUCGCGAAGGCAAGUGUCCGGGGUGCAACUGACGCUGAGGCUCGAAAGUGCGGGUAUCAAACAGGAUUAGAUACCCUAGUAGUC